Molecule: long non-coding RNA, 1116 nt
Organism: Anneissia japonica
Lineage: Eukaryota; Metazoa; Echinodermata; Crinoidea; Comatulida; Comatulidae
Exons: 2
Source: RefSeq, a predicted model, not a curated record
AUUGUAACCCGUUGUUUAAAAAGCAGUUAGAAGUUGAUUCGAGCUAACAACCCAUCGUCUGUAGCAGUUUGUUUGCUUCCUCAUCGGGUAUUCUUCAGUAAACAUGAAGUCUUUAUUUCUAUCUGCAGUGUUAGCAUGUUGUUUGCUGAUAGCACAUACCUACCCAUUGGAUGAUGAUGAAACGAACUAUCAGAUAUUAAAGCGGAUUCUUGGAGAUCUAAACGAAAUCCAUACCAAGGCGAUUAAGCGAGGAAAACCUUGCGCAGCGGCCAACGACAUGAUGACGUUAAUGGAGUGCUUUGGCUUCCACAAACGCUCUCCCUCAAAUUUACGCAAUGAACUCGGCCAAGAAGAUAAGUAAAAUCACCAAUGCCAGCAACUAUUGAAAGCCUUACAACUCAGUCGUAGCCAGUAGAUCUUAGAAGCACCACUUCACAGACUAUUACAGAUUUGUUUCAACCAAUCAGUUACAAGGAGUAUAGCAUGUUCUAUCACGUGGGUGACUCUUCGCACCAAUUAAAAACUGUUAAGAAUUCGAAAUAUAUUUUUGGUUAUGAGUAAAUAUAUAUUUCGGACGACGCAUGUUCAAAUCAUCAAUUGCCUUGAAAGACAUUAUUUUUACAAAAACAUUAUAAACGUUGAAAACUGUUCGAUACCAAUUUAUGUUCUCUCCAUCAAGAUGAAUAUUUGAUUUUACUAUAAAAACUUUAAAUAUACUGUAUAUGUAUAAAAAUAAUGAAGUUUGUAUUGUUUUAAUUAAAAGUACAUGCGGCAUAUUAUGGUUUAGAUAAUGUGUUGUUAUUGUAAUUUCCAGAUAAUCUGCAAUAUAGAAGUGAGUCAUCAUCAAAAUGUAGUCACAUACCAAGUUAAAUUAACAAUAAUAUUCUUUGUAAAUGUAAACAGACAAAUUGUUGUAGGAAACUAAGCGAUUAAUUAUUUGAUUAAGAAGAAAAAAAAUGACGACGAUAAGGAUAGUCUUUAUUCAUUUUCGAAAAGUCAGGCGGGGAAUAUUUUAAAAAUCUAUAACUUGCAUUAUUAUGUAAUUAAGCAAAACAUGACUGAUUUUGUUUACGGUAUCUUUCGUCACAUAUUUUAAUAAAACUCAAAAUAUCCUGA